Molecule: ribosomal RNA, 492 nt
Filed under: uncultured microorganism
Description: bacterial SSU rRNA
Rfam family: Bacterial small subunit ribosomal RNA
Source: RNAcentral
GAGUUUGAUCAUGGCUCAGGAUGAACGCCGGCGGUGUGCCUAAUACAUGCAAGUCGUACGCACUGGCCCAACUGAUUGAUGGUGCUUGCACCUGAUUGACGAUGGAUCACCAGUGAGUGGCGGACGGGUGAGUAACACGUAGGUAACCUGCCCCGGAGCGGGGGAUAACAUUUGGAAACAGAUGCUAAUACCGCAUAACAACAAAGGCCACAUGGCUUUUGUUUGAAAGAUGGCUUUGGCCAUCACUCUGGGAUGGACCCGCGGUGCAUUAGCUAGUUGGUAAGGUAACGGCUUACCAAGGCGAUGAUGCAUAGCCGAGUUGAGAGACUGAUCGGCCACAAUGGAACUGAGACACGGUCCAUACUCCUACGGGAGGCAGCAGUAGGGAAUCUUCCACAAUGGGCGCAAGCCUGAUGGAGCAACACCGCGUGAGUGAAGAAGGGUCUCGGCUCGUAAAGCUCUGUUGUGGAGAAGAACGUGCGUGAGAGUAAC